UACGUAGGGUGCGAGCGUUGUCCGGAAUUAUUGGGCGUAAAGAGCUCGUAGGCGGUGUGUCACGUCGGCCGUGAAAACCUGCAGCUUAACUGUGGGCGUGCGGUCGAUACGGGCAUCACUGGAGUUCGGCAGGGGAGACUGGAAUUCCUGGUGUAGCGGUGAAAUGCGCAGAUAUCGGAAGGAACACCAGUGGCGAAAGCGGCUUCCUGGACCAGCACCGACGUUCAGGCACGAAAGCGUGGGGAGCAAACAGG
This 254-nucleotide ribosomal RNA is filed under the name uncultured bacterium. RNAcentral's name for it is "partial 16S ribosomal RNA". It matches the Rfam family "Bacterial small subunit ribosomal RNA", at positions 524 to 776 of the family's 1533-position model. The record is from RNAcentral.